UACGGAGGGUGCGAGCGUUAAUCGGAAUAACUGGGCGUAAAGAGUGCGUAGGUGGUUUGAUAAGUUAUCUGUAAAAGCCCCGGGCUUAACCUGGGAAGGCCAGAUAAUACUGUUGGACUCGAGUAUGGGAGAGGGUAGUGGAAUUUCCGGUGUAGCGGUGAAAUGCGUAGAGAUCGGAAGGAACACCAGUGGCGAAGGCGGCUACCUGGCCUAAUACUGACACUGAGGCACGAAAGCGUGGGGAGCAAACAGG
RNAcentral lists this ribosomal RNA (253 nucleotides) under uncultured bacterium. Its description in RNAcentral is "partial 16S ribosomal RNA". It matches the Rfam family "Bacterial small subunit ribosomal RNA", at positions 524 to 776 of the family's 1533-position model. The record is from RNAcentral.